RNAcentral lists this ribosomal RNA (465 nucleotides) under Vreelandella stevensii. Its description in RNAcentral is "partial 16S ribosomal RNA". It matches the Rfam family "Bacterial small subunit ribosomal RNA", at positions 338 to 795 of the family's 1533-position model. The record is from RNAcentral. Lineage: Bacteria; Pseudomonadati; Pseudomonadota; Gammaproteobacteria; Oceanospirillales; Halomonadaceae.
CCUACGGGAGGCAGCAGUGGGGAAUAUUGGACAAUGGGGGCAACCCUGAUCCAGCCAUGCCGCGUGUGUGAAGAAGGCCCUCGGGUUGUAAAGCACUUUCAGUGAGGAAGAACGCCUGGUGGUUAAUACCCAUCAGGAAAGACAUCACUCACAGAAGAAGCACCGGCUAACUCCGUGCCAGCAGCCGCGGUAAUACGGAGGGUGCGAGCGUUAAUCGGAAUUACUGGGCGUAAAGCGCGCGUAGGUGGCUUGAUAAGCCGGUUGUGAAAGCCCCGGGCUCAACCUGGGAACGGCAUCCGGGACUGUCAAGCUAGAGUGCAGGAGAGGAAGGUAGAAUUCCCGGUGUAGCGGUGAAAUGCGUAGAGAUCGGGAGGAAUACCAGUGGCGAAGGCGGCCUUCUGGACUGACACUGACACUGAGGUGCGAAAGCGUGGGUAGCAAACAGGAUUAGAUACCCGUGUAGUC